This is a non-coding RNA of Saimiri boliviensis boliviensis (Bolivian squirrel monkey), 1224 nucleotides long. Lineage: Eukaryota; Metazoa; Chordata; Mammalia; Primates; Cebidae. The record is from RefSeq and is a predicted model, not a curated record.
UUUUUUGAUCUUCAGCUACAUUUUCGGCUUUGUGAGAAACCUUGUCAUCAAACACAAUGGCCAGCAACGUUACCAACAAGACGGAUCCUCGCUCCAUAAACUCCCGUGUAUUCAUUGGGAAUCUCAACACUCUUGUGGUCAAGAAAUCUGAUGUGGAGGCAAUCUUUUCGAAGUAUGGCAAAAUUGUGGCCUGCUCUGUUCAUAAGGGUUUUGCCUUCGUUCAAUAUGUUAAUGAGAGAAAUGCCCGCGCUGCUGUAGCAGGAGAGGAUGGCAGAAUGAUUGCUGGCCAGGUUUUAGAUACUAACCUGGCUGCAGAGCCAAAAGUGAACCGAGGAAAAGCUGGUGUGAAACGAUCUGCAGCGGAGAUGUACGGUUCCUCUUUUGACUUGGACUUUGAUUUUCAAUGGGAUUAUUACGAUAGGACGUACAGUUACCCAGCACGUGUACCUCCUCCUCCUCCUGUUACUCAGGCUGUAGCGCCCUCGAAACAUGAGCGUGUAUCAGGAAACACCUCAUGAAGGGGCAAAAGUGGCUUCCAUUCUAAGAGUGGACAGCGGGGAUCUUCCAAGUCUGGAAAGUUGAAAGGAGAUGACCUUCAGGCCAUUAAGAAGGAGCUGACCCGGAUAAAAUAAAAAGUGGAUUCUCUCCUGGAAAACCUGGAAAAAAUUGAAAAGGAACAGAGCAAGCAAGCAGUAGAGAUGAAGAAUGGUAAGUCAGAAGAGGAGCAGAGCAGCAGCUCCAUGAAGAAAGAUGAGACUAGUGUGAAGAUGGAGUCUGAGGGGAUGCAGAUGACUCUGCUGAAGGAGGGGGACCUACUGGAUGAUGAUGAUAAUGAAGAUCGGGGGGAUGACCAGCUGGAGUUGAUCAAGGAUGAUGAAAAAGAGGCUGAGGAAGGAGAGGAUGACAGAGACAGCACCAAUGGCGAGGAUGACUCUUAAGCACAUAGUGGAGUUUAGAAAUCUUAUCCCAUUAUUUCUUUACCUAGGCGCUUGUCUAAGAUCAAAUUUUUCACCAGAUCCUCUCCCCUAGUGUCUUCAGCACAUGCUCACCGCUCUCCCCAUCCUUGUCCUUCCCAUGUUCAUUAAUUCCUAUUUCCCUGUGCCUAGUCCCAUUUUAACUUCCUUUGACGCUCCUAGUAGUUUUUGUUAAGUCUUACCCUGUAAUUUUUGCUUUUAAUUUUGAUACCUCUUUAUGACUUAACAAUAAAAAGGAUGUAUGGUUGUU